Molecule: ribosomal RNA, 497 nt
Filed under: uncultured bacterium
Lineage: Bacteria
Description: partial 16S ribosomal RNA
Rfam family: Bacterial small subunit ribosomal RNA
Source: RNAcentral
GAUGAACGCUGGCGGCGUGCCUAAUACAUGCAAGUCGAGCGAACAGACGAGGAGCUUGCUCCUCUGACGUUAGCGGCGGACGGGUGAGUAACACGUGGAUAACCUACCUAUAAGACUGGGAUAACUUCGGGAAACCGGAGCUAAUACCGGAUAAUAUAUUGAACCGCAUGGUUCAAUAGUGAAAGACGGUUUUGCUGUCACUUAUAGAUGGAUCCGCGCCGCAUUAGCUAGUUGGUAAGGUAACGGCUUACCAAGGCAACGAUGCGUAGCCGACCUGAGAGGAUGAUGGGCCACACGGGAACUGAGACACGGUCCAGACUCCUACGGGAGGCAGCAGUGGGGAAUAUUGGACAAUGGGCGAAAGCCUGACGAAGCCACACCGCGUGGGUGAAGAAGGUCUUCGGCUCUUAAAGCUCUUUUAUUGGGAAAGAAAAACAGUAGAAUAAUAUCCCCCUGUUCUGACGGUACCCAAACAAAAAGCACCGGCUAACUUCGUG